Molecule: ribosomal RNA, 253 nt
Filed under: uncultured bacterium
Lineage: Bacteria
Description: partial 16S ribosomal RNA
Rfam family: Bacterial small subunit ribosomal RNA
Source: RNAcentral
GACGUAGGGCGCGAGCGUUGUCCGGAUUUAUUGGGCGUAAAGAGCUCGUAGGCGGCUUGUCGCGUCGGUCGUGAAAACCUGUGGCUCAACUACAGGCUUGCGGUCGAUACGGGCAGGCUGGAGUUCGGUAGGGGAGACUGGAAUUCCUGGUGUAGCGGUGAAAUGCGCAGAUAUCAGGAGGAACACCGGUGGCGAAGGCGGGUCUCUGGGCCGAUACUGACGCUGAGACGCGAAAGCGUGGGGAGCGAACAGG